This 582-nucleotide long non-coding RNA is filed under the name Homo sapiens (human). RNAcentral describes it as "novel transcript". Lineage: Eukaryota; Metazoa; Chordata; Mammalia; Primates; Hominidae. The record is from RNAcentral.
ACUCAAGAACCCAGCCCCCAUAGUGUGAGGAGGCCUAGGACAGUUACAGAAGCCAUGUGUAGGUGUUCUGGCUCCAGCAAAAGUCUUAUCUGACAACAUCAACUACAUGUUAGUGGGGUUUGUCUUGGUCCAUUUUAUGCUGCUAUAACAGAACACCACAGACUGAGAAAUUUAUAAGGAAUAGAAGUUUAUUUGCCUCAUGUUUCUGGAGGCUGGGAAUUCCAAGAUCAAGGGGCUGCAUAGAUUGAGGUCCUUUUUGCUGACUCAUAACGUGGAAAGAGAGUGCACUGCAUAGAAGAAAGGAGGCCAAACUCAUUCUUUUAUCAUGAGCCUACUCCUGAAAUAACUCACUCUCAAGAUAAUGGCAUUAAUCCAUUCAUGAAGGCAGAAUACUCAUGAUGUAAUCACCUCUUAAAAGACUAACCAGAAUUGGCUACAGUUUCUUCAAGAAAAUACCCCAAUGGAAGAAAAAAAGGUGGAGGGAGAAACUGAAUGAAGAAAGGAUGAUUUGAAAUUACCAGAAAGUGGAACGUGGAAAAAACAGAGUAAAACUAGUUUGAGAAUAAAAUCUUAGGUUGUAAC